CUGUGUGUUGCUUGGAGACGCGCAGCGCAACAUUUCGACUGUUGCUUCGCUUGGAACUAUUUUCACUGGCGGGACAGAAAUACACAAAGUAGGCUAUCUGGCGAUACUAAAAUAGGAGAGUGGUCCCUCUGUAUUUCUGUAGGGAGUGCUGGCAGCAUGUUCCGAGCCCCUGAGAUGCCAAGCUGGCACUGCCUGCUGUCAGAUCCGUCCAUGCUGGCUGACCUCGCCCUCACCACCCCAAAUGCCUCUGCCAGCCAGCCUGAAGCUUGAGUCCCUGUUGAUCUACACUGAGAUCUGAUAUGCUGAUAUAUACUGCCUAACAGAAUGACUGACAAGAUACUGACUGAUUCACCCAGUGCCUCAGGAAGGACCUCUUGCUUUAAUGAGGAUCAUGGGCAACAAAGUAGUACAGACAGAACAGUUCUGCCUCCUCCCAUUACAGCAGAACAAGAGACCAGGUCCAAAUCUACACGUCUGUGGGUUCACAUGUGAUCUUUGUUCUUUGUAAUGUAAGAUUAAUCAUUGAGGAACAGAUGUGACAAUAUUCAAUGGACAGAUUAAAUAGAUCAUUUGUUACACAAUCAACAUUUCCUGUAAACUAGCAAAACUAUGUGUUAUAGACUACUAAAUACAGAAAUUAUAAGAAUUUAUCACCUUAUUGCUUCUGACUGGCACCAGAUGGGCUUUGUAGAUUAACCUGGGCACCUUACUGUGACUAAAAGGAUCAAAAUAAUAAAUGUGCAACAAUAAUUAAACAUUUUAUCGCAAGAAAACUUUGUGUGCACCAUAGGCCUAUUUUGUCAGUGAUGAGCUCCGUAGUUUCCUGUCCACAGCAACAAAAACAAUGUGAUGUUAAAUUUUUAGUUAUUUUUAAUGAGUCGGUGAAAAAAGAUUCAAACAGCCUCAUUAGUUAGCGAUGCGGCUUGCAUCAGAUUCACUCUGCCAGUGAAACAUCAGAGCCUUUAAUGAGUUCGCUGCUGAGUUGACUCCCUGAACUGUGAGUCAUUUUUAAACAUUACUACAAUUAGGUUUGAGAGAUUUAAAUGCGUUUCUAUACUGAAUGUUCUUAUGACAAUGUGAAACCUGAAAAGAUUGCCUAGAAAGACCCCUCCCCCCACCCCUCCAAAAAAUAGCUGCAAUUCUCUGUAUUUGACCUGUCUCCUCUGUUGAUGUGAGAGAUGAAGAGAUGCUAUUGAAGUGUCUGUAGUGCUGUGUGUCAGACUGAGGGUCCGUCUGAAAGGUACAACAGUGUCAUGAUGGACUAAUCAGCAGGCACAGCCACUAGAGCGGCCUGUUUGUUUCUCUGUGAAAUACACAUUUUGCUAAUUGUUUAUAGUCAUUAAUCAAAUUUGUUGCACUGCUGAUAUCAGAGGGAAGAGGAGGAUGUGCAUGUGUUAUAGUCAGGAAAGAUCUCUCUCACUCUUUCACUGUUUUACAAAAAAAAAAAGGACAAAUGCAACAAUCAAUCAGAUCAAUGAGCAAACAUAAUUAUUUAAUAAUUAUCUUUAACUGUAAAUGUGAAAGCAUCAAAUUCUUACCCCAGACUGUGUGGUAAUGCUGAAGGUUUUAUUGAAUUUUGAUGGUCAGGAUGAUAUUUCAGUAUCAACAUUGAAGAAAAUCACCAUUAAGUCACAUUAAAUUUAUUUUAUACCUAGUUCAGUCAUGGGAACACUGAAGGGCUAAUGGUGAUUGGUCCUUUACAUGCAAUCUGCAAGCAAUCACAUCAUUACUGCAUAGCACAAGCUGAACGGCCUCUGCUGAUCCUCAACAUUUAAAUAGUCUGGUUCAGUGUUUGCUGUAAGCUUGUCCUGCCGCACGUUAUCAAAGUUCCUCUGAAGUCCUCCACCUCCCCAGCUCCACCUGCCUAGAUCUGCUACGGGAAAGUGCAUGAUUCAUGGGUUCACAGAGAUCGCCCCCCAGCAGUGAACCACUAAAAUUUCGAAACAGUUAUGACUUAACAAAGCCUUGUUUACUGAAAUCACAUGACUUUGGCAGUUUUAUAUGCUCUCCGAACCACUGAUUAAAAACAAGACAUUUGUAAAGGUUUCGAAGCUUCAUGCAGCAAUGUUUCGAAAGUGCUGAUCACUAGUCUGUGUAUCUAUUAGCAUUAGCAAGUCCAUACUUGCUUUGCAACAGCAACUAUUUUGAGAGUUGUCAUGAUUGAGAACUAACAUUUGCAAACAUUGCAAAGUUCUAUAAUUUGAGUUGCAUUUUGAACUCUCUGGGUUAUCAAAAAAAAAGUCAUUAGUGCAUGAUUAUUUGAUGUAUAAAUAAUAUUUGAAUAUACUCACCUGUAACCUGCGUCUAAUGAGUUUGCUAAAGAACAAACUCCCAACUUGCUAGAAGAAACCUCAGCAAGCGCAAACCUGGCUAUACCUUUUUUACCAUGCCAAUAAAGCCACUUGAAUCUAACACAGAGGAGCUUAGUGGACUCCCACAUCACUUGAAUCUGAUGUUCUUAGUAAAAUACUCAAAAUUUACCUUAUUCUUGUCUGAGACUUGGUCUUUCUCUGACUCAGUCACGUAAGCUGGGCUCAUGUUUGAAGUGAGUAUAUUUUGAGCUUUGAGUGGUUCUCUGUUUCAAACCAGACAUCACACAGUCCUGCCCUGAGGAAAACUAACAAAGCAACUGCCAAGACAACAGACUUUUCAGAUACACACGCAAACAUUCACACACAUAAAAACAAACAAUACAAUCAUUACACACAUAAACCUUUGCACUCAAAAAGAGGUCAAGAAAGAGGAGAAACGGAUACUACCAGUGGUUUCAUUUGAGCACUGUGGGGAACUCAUGCGUAAAUGUUAAACGCAAGUUUUUAAAGUGUUUUUUAAACGUGUUUUUAAAGUGUUUUUUAGAUAUACCUACAAAGUGUUAACAUUAAUUUUGAUGUUUAUUUAUGUGGUGUGAUCCAAUGCAGAUACAACCCUAAUUCCAGAACUGUAGGUUCUGUAGGUUUUUUCU
This is an RNA transcript of Megalobrama amblycephala (Wuchang bream), 2962 nucleotides long. RefSeq lists it as uncharacterized. NCBI's taxonomy places the organism in Eukaryota, Metazoa, Chordata, Actinopteri, Cypriniformes, Xenocyprididae. The record is from RefSeq and is a predicted model, not a curated record. The transcript has 4 exons.